GACGUAGGGGGCGAGCGUUGUCCGGAUUUAUUGGGCGUAAAGAGCGCGUAGGCGGCCCGUUAAGUCGGAUGUGAAAACCCGUGGCUCAACCACGGGCCUGCAUCCGAUACUGGCGGGCUCGAGGCAGGCAGGGGAGAUCGGAAUUCCUGGUGUAGCGGUGAAAUGCGCAGAUAUCGGGAGGAACACCAAUGGCGAAGGCAGCUCGCUGGGACGUUACUGACGCUGAGACGCGAAAGCGUGGGGAGCAAACAGG
Molecule: ribosomal RNA, 253 nt
Filed under: uncultured bacterium
Lineage: Bacteria
Description: partial 16S ribosomal RNA
Rfam family: Bacterial small subunit ribosomal RNA
Source: RNAcentral